GAUGAACGCUGGCGGCGUGCCUAAUACAUGCAAGUCGAGCGAACGGACGAGGAGCUUGCUUCUCUCAUGUUAGCGGAGGACGGGUGUGUAACACGUGGAUAAUCUACCUAUAAGACUGGGAUAACUUCGAGAAACGGGAUCUUAUACCGGAUGAUCUUUUGAACCGCAUGGUUCAAAAGUGAAAGACGGUCUUUGUGGCACUUCUAGCUGGAUAUGCGCUGCUUUAGCUAGUUGGUAAGGUAACGGGCUACCAAGGGAACGAUGCAUGAACGACCGCAGAGGGGGGUAGCCCACAUUGGAACUGGGACACGGUCCAGACGCCUACGAGAGGCAGCAGUAUGCAAUCUUCCGCAGUGGGCGAAAGUCUGACGGAGCGACGCCACGUGAGUGACGAAGACCUUCGGAUCGUAAUACUCUGUUAUGAGUUAAGAACAGAUGUGGAAUUUACCGAGCACUUCUUGACGGUACCGAAUCAGAAAGCCACGGCUAACUACGUG
Molecule: ribosomal RNA, 497 nt
Filed under: uncultured bacterium
Lineage: Bacteria
Description: partial 16S ribosomal RNA
Rfam family: Bacterial small subunit ribosomal RNA
Source: RNAcentral